GGAAGUUCUUGGGUGACACACCCUGGAAUUGGGCUCCCUCCUCUCUGGUUCCAGGGUGUGUCACUCAAGAACCAUC
This is a non-coding RNA of Myotis davidii, 76 nucleotides long. The record is from Rfam. NCBI's taxonomy places the organism in Eukaryota, Metazoa, Chordata, Mammalia, Chiroptera, Vespertilionidae.